AAGAGAGAGAGCGACAGAGAGAGUAUUUAUCCAUUUCAGGUGUGGCAGCCUCUUGGCACAUGGCAUUGGUCACAUUUGGUAACCAGGGGAGGCAUUCAUUCACACAGCUUUCUCCCAGGAGACCCUUUGAACAGAAGACCAAGCAGGAAACACAACUCUGUCCACUAAGAGGCUGGCUAUACGAUCACUGGUUCAGCAGAAUCAGCGCUGUCCCCACAGAGAUUUCCUGCAGUCACCAGCUGUUUCUUCCAACACCUGCGUUAAUUUAUGGAUGCUGGUUCGAGCUUCAGGCGGGACACCAUCUGAAGCUCACACGCAGCAGCUCGAAAGAUGGUGGUGGAAAAAGUCUGGAGCCAAGAAACACAUGGCAGGAUCUGCUCUCCAGUGGAUGGAUUUUUCUGGUUUAUGGUGAUGGAUUCAUAUGGAUUAGUAUGGAUUCACAACAUCUGGAAUGAAUACCUAUACAUAUAAUUAAAGAUGUUCAUUACUGCUCUGAAAACUAAGCUGUCUGGCUUACUUUGCUUAUUUCCUGAGUAAACACUUGAAGAUUCACUGGGUGAAAGAUCUCCUUUUUAAAGUGUGUUAUUUUUGCUGAUGUUUCAUGUUUAUUUCCCCAAUAAAG
Long non-coding RNA from Eleginops maclovinus (Patagonian blennie), 622 nucleotides. RefSeq lists it as uncharacterized. The transcript has 4 exons. Lineage: Eukaryota; Metazoa; Chordata; Actinopteri; Perciformes; Eleginopidae. The record is from RefSeq and is a predicted model, not a curated record.